Caenorhabditis elegans is the source of this 21-nucleotide non-coding RNA. The record is from Ensembl. NCBI's taxonomy places the organism in Eukaryota, Metazoa, Nematoda, Chromadorea, Rhabditida, Rhabditidae.
GAAUAAAGGCCGAAGGCAAAC